This 479-nucleotide ribosomal RNA is filed under the name uncultured bacterium. Its description in RNAcentral is "bacterial SSU rRNA". It matches the Rfam family "Bacterial small subunit ribosomal RNA", at positions 28 to 507 of the family's 1533-position model. The record is from RNAcentral.
GACGAACGCUGGCGGCGUGCCUAACACAUGCAAGUCGAACGAAGCACUGCGGAAAGAGACUUCGGUCAAUGGAAGCUUUGACUUAGUGGCGGACGGGUGAGUAACGCGUGAGGAACCUGCCUUUCAGUGGGGGACAACAGUUGGAAACGACUGCUAAUACCGCAUAAUGUGUUUUGGGGGCAUCCCCGGAACACCAAAGAUUUAUUGCUGAAAGAUGGACCCGCGGCGCAUUAGCUAGUUGGUGGGGUAACGACCUACCAAGGCGACGAUGCGUAGCCGACCUGAGAGGGUGAUCGGCCACAUUGGGACUGAGACACGGCCCAGACUCCUACGGGAGGCAGCAGUGGGGAAUAUUGCACAAUGGGGGAAACCCUGAUGCAGCAACGCCGCGUGAGUGAUGACGGCCUUCGGGUUGUAAAGCUCUGUUUCCAGGGACGAUAAUGACGGUACCUGGGGAGGAAGCCACGGCUAACUACGUG